UAACCUGCGCGCAAUUCAGGUGCCCAACCUCAACACGUUGGGUUAAACGGGAAGACUGGUAAGUUGUUGCAACAGAGCGACAGCAAAUCCAGCGCUGCCCCCGCAACGGUGAUCGGUCAUACCGUCGACAAUCUGCCACUGUGCAUAGCAUGGGAAGGCGUCGAUGGUGAGUAUAAACUCAGACCGUAAGCCCGGAUACCGGCCUGAGUUGCACAUGUACA
RNAcentral lists this non-coding RNA (221 nucleotides) under Thalassolituus oleivorans. The record is from RNAcentral. Lineage: Bacteria; Pseudomonadati; Pseudomonadota; Gammaproteobacteria; Oceanospirillales; Oceanospirillaceae. RNAcentral also lists the same sequence under 1 other name.